UGUAUUCACUACUGUAAGUCGCUGGAUAUGAGCGUCUGCUAAAUGACUAAAA
This is a non-coding RNA of Salmo salar (Atlantic salmon), 52 nucleotides long. The record is from Rfam. Lineage: Eukaryota; Metazoa; Chordata; Actinopteri; Salmoniformes; Salmonidae.